UACGGGGGGGGCAAGCGUUGUUCGGAAUUAUUGGGCGUAAAGGGCUCGUAGGUGGCCAACUAAGUCGGACGUGAAAUCCCUCGGCUUAACCGGGGAACUGCGUCCGAUACUGGUUGGCUUGAGUUUGGGAGAGGGAUGCGGAAUUCCAGGUGUAGCGGUGAAAUGCGUAGAUAUCUGGAGGAACACCGGUGGCGAAGGCGGCAUCCUGGACCAACACUGACGCUGAGGAGCGAAAGCCAGGGGAGCAAACGGG
This 253-nucleotide ribosomal RNA is filed under the name uncultured bacterium. RNAcentral's name for it is "partial 16S ribosomal RNA". It matches the Rfam family "Bacterial small subunit ribosomal RNA", at positions 524 to 776 of the family's 1533-position model. The record is from RNAcentral.